This 71-nucleotide transfer RNA is filed under the name Mus musculus (house mouse). It matches the Rfam family "tRNA". From Rfam's summary of the family: Transfer RNA (tRNA) molecules are approximately 80 nucleotides in length. Their secondary structure includes four short double-helical elements and three loops (D, anti-codon, and T loops). Lineage: Eukaryota; Metazoa; Chordata; Mammalia; Rodentia; Muridae. RNAcentral also lists the same sequence under 1 other name. The record is from Rfam by way of RNAcentral.
GGGAGUAUGGCUCAGUGGUAGAGUACUUGUCUGAUAGUCUUGAGGCCCUGGGUUCUAUCUCCAGUACCUCA